Molecule: RNA transcript, 1287 nt
Organism: Tripterygium wilfordii
Lineage: Eukaryota; Viridiplantae; Streptophyta; Magnoliopsida; Celastrales; Celastraceae
Gene name: ATP-dependent Clp protease proteolytic subunit-related protein 4, chloroplastic-like
Exons: 8
Source: RefSeq, a predicted model, not a curated record
CAUGGCUAGGGCUGUAAACAAUCAGAGUUCUCCACAAAUUGUUCGUGUUCGAACUUGUCCGUUCCUGCUCGUCGAUAAGUAAAAGAGUUGAGUGCAAAAGCACUACCGAUGGAGGUCGCGACCGUAGCAGCAUCGACCUUCGCGCUCCGGACGCGUAUGGUAGCCCCUCCGCUCUCACCUAUGCGAACCCCUAACCGAAACCCAACCCGAGCUUCAUCUUAUUCUUCUUCCUCUAUCCAAUCCUCUCUCUCUUCCAGCUUCUUCUCUCCCUUCUCUGGCGGCACCAUCUCCAGCGAUUUCUCCGGCUUCAAGCUCCGCCAACAGUCAUCGAAGCCCAAGCGAAGCGUCAUCACCAUGGUUAUUCCUUUCCAGAAGGGAAGUGCAUUGGAGCAACCUCCUCCAGACUUGGCAUCUUACUUGUACAAGAAUCGAAUUGUUUACUUGGGCAUGUCUCUUGUUCCAUCAGUCACUGAGUUGAUUCUGGCAGAAUUUCUCUACCUGCAGUAUGAAGAUGCUGAGAAACCUAUUUACUUAUACAUAAACUCUACUGGAACAACCAAGGAUGGAGAGAAAUUGGGUUACGAGACAGAGGCCUUUGCCCUUUAUGAUGUUAUGGGGUAUGUUGAGCCCCCAAUAUUUACCCUUUGUGUUGGCAAUGCUUGGGGUGAAGCAGCCUUACUUUUGGCUGCUGGCGCAAAGGGAAACCGUUCUGCUUUGCCCUCAUCGACUAUCAUGAUAAAGCAGCCAAUUGCAAGGUUUCAAGGUCAAGCAACAGAUAUUGAGCUUGCAAGAAAAGAAGUAAAUAAUGUGAAGGCGGAAUUGGUUAAACUCUACGCCAAGCAUAUUGGAAAAUCACCUGAGCAGAUUGAAGCUGACAUUAGGCGCCCAAAAUAUUUUAGUCCCAGCGAGGCGGUUGAAUAUGGCAUCAUAGAUAAGGUGCUGUACAACGAAAGAAGCUCUGAAGACCGCGGAGUUGUAUCUGACCUGAAGAAAGCUCAGCUGAUUUGACUGUCUUGAUCUUGGACUGAUGAUUGCAAGGAAUAUGAGGUAAAACAAACCCUUGGUUAAAUUAUUGUUGGGCGGGUCAUCGAAGAUUUACUCAAAAGGAGGUCAGGCAAGAUGUGAAGCCAAAAGGUUGUCUUGAAUGAGUGUUUUAGGCGCACAAAUGUGAAUGAAUGCUCAAAGGUUUCUUGGCUGAAACAUGUAACAAUAUUGGAAGGAGGCUGCAGUACAUUACAUAUUAAUAAGAUAUAUGUUGGGUUUAUACUUAUAUGCCUGUUAUGCGUA